GACGGAAGGUGCAAGCGUUGCUCGGAAUCACUGGGCGUAAAGCGCGUGUAGGCGGCUUGGCAAGUCGGAUGUGAAAGCCCACGGCUCAACCGUGGAAGCGCAUCCGAAACUGCUUCGCUCGAGUCUCGGAGAGGAAGGUGGAAUGCUUGGUGUAGAGGUGAAAUUCGUAGAUAUCAAGCAGAACACCUGCGGCGAAGGCGGCCUUCUGGACGAUGACUGACGCUGAGACGCGAAAGCGUGGGGAGCAAACAGG
Molecule: ribosomal RNA, 253 nt
Filed under: uncultured bacterium
Lineage: Bacteria
Description: partial 16S ribosomal RNA
Rfam family: Bacterial small subunit ribosomal RNA
Source: RNAcentral